Molecule: ribosomal RNA, 804 nt
Filed under: uncultured bacterium
Lineage: Bacteria
Description: bacterial SSU rRNA
Rfam family: Bacterial small subunit ribosomal RNA
Source: RNAcentral
GUGGGAAAUCUUGCAGGUUAAACUGUAGAAUAGCCGUGGAAACUGUGUUUUUUGAGUACAUUUGAGGUAGGCGGAAUGUGGUGUGUAGCGGUGAAAUGCAUAGAUAUACCACAGAACACCGAUGCGAAGGCAGCUUACUAAACUGUCACUGACGCUGAUGCACGAAAGCGUGGGUAUCAAACAGGAUUAGAUACCCUGGUAGUCCACGCUGUAAACGAUGAUUACUGGUUGUUUGCGAUACACUGCAAGUGACUGAGCGAAAGCAUUAAGUAAUCCACCUGGGGAGUACGUCGGCAACGAUGAAACUCAAAGGAAUUGACGGGGGCCCGCACAGGCGGAGGAACAUGUGGUUUAAUUCGAUGAUACGCGAGGAACCUUACCUGGGUUUAAAUGGGGAGUGACAGGCUUGGAAACAGGCCCUUCUUCGGACACUCUUCAAGGUGCUGCAUGGUUGUCGUCAGCUCGUGCCGUGAGGUGUCGGGUUAAGUGCCAUAACGAGCGCAACCCCUCUCCGUAGUUGCCAUCAGGUGAUGCUGGGCACUCUGCGGACACUGCCGCCGUAAGGUGUGAGGAAGGUGGGGAUGACGUCAAAUCAGCACGGCCCUUACGUCCGGGGCUACACACGUGUUACAAUGGGUCAUACAGAGUGUUGUGCGUAUGCAAAUACGUACUAAUCAUUAAAAUGAUCCUCAGUUCGGAUUGGGGUCUGCAACCCGACCCCAUGAAGCUGGAUUCGCUAGUAAUCGCGCAUCAGCCAUGGCGCGGUGAAUACGUUCCCGGGCCUUGUACACACCGCCCGUCAAG